RNAcentral lists this small RNA (250 nucleotides) under Aeribacillus pallidus. Its description in RNAcentral is "BsrG". It matches the Rfam family "BsrG". From Rfam's summary of the family: bsrE, bsrG and bsrH pair through intermolecular interactions with antisense sRNAs. SR4 interaction with the 3'UTR of bsrG RNA promotes bsrG degradation and inhibits its translation. SR5 also overlaps bsrG from nucleotide 163 to 52 (Rfam overlap check). The record is from Rfam by way of RNAcentral. Lineage: Bacteria; Bacillati; Bacillota; Bacilli; Caryophanales; Bacillaceae.
GCAAUAGAACGGUAGACUCAAGGGUGGUUGGCAUUUACCCCGUACAGAAAGGGGGUGUGCCGAUGACAGUAUUCGAAGCGUUAAUGUUUGCAAUCAGUUUUUCAAGCCUUAUAAUUACAAUGCUGUCAAAUCCGCAAAAAAAAUAAUCCACCCUUGAGCUGAUAGCAGUGGUGGAUUAUUUUUUACCUCCUGCCUGAUCCCCUUGAAGGGAACCGUCUGUUGCAGGGCCAAGGGUGUCGCAGCACCUUUG